Molecule: unclassified non-coding RNA, 376 nt
Filed under: soil metagenome
Description: partial contains 5.8S ribosomal RNA, internal transcribed spacer 2, and large subunit ribosomal RNA
Rfam family: 5.8S ribosomal RNA (bases 1-120)
Source: RNAcentral
GAUGAAGAACGCAGCGAAAUGCGAUAAGUAAUGUGAAUUGCAGAAUUCAGUGAAUCAUCGAAUCUUUGAACGCAUCUUGCGCUCCUUGGUAUUCUGAGGAGCAUGCCUGUUUGAGUGUCAUUAAAUUCUCAACUACACUGACUUUGAAUUGGUGUGGCUUGGAUUUGGGGGGAAAAUUGUUGUGGGCUUUUUGUAUAGUCUGCUCCCCUGAAAUUGAUUAGCGGUACCUUUGUGGAACUGUCUACAGGUGUGAUAAUUAUCUACAUCUUAGACAUCUGCUGGAAUGCUGCUUUCUAAACCUUACUUGUAUUGACAAUCUUGACCUCAAAUCAGGUUGGACUACCCGCUGAACUUAAGCAUAUCAAUAAGCGGAGGA